UGUAAGCGUAUACCAAAGUUGUUGCAGUUAAAACGCUCGUAGUCGGACUUUGGCAGUUCCGGAUGUGUGCACGUCGUGUGCGCACUUCGCUGGGAUUGCUUUUGUGGUCUUGCGUAGGAUGAGGCACUUUUAUUAGUGAACGUCCUCACGCAACCACUUUUUACUGUGAGAAAAUCAGAGUGCUCAAAGCAGGCAUUUGCCGUGAAUGUAUUAGCAUGGAAUAAUAGAAUAGGACUUGGUUCUAUUUUGUUGGUUUGUUGGGACUGAGUAAUGAUUAAGAGGGACAGUUGGGGGCAUUUGUAUUUCGGUGCUAGAGGUGAAAUUCUUAGAUUACCGAAAGACAAACUGCUGCGAAAGCGUCUGCCAAGGAUGUUUUCAUUGA
Molecule: ribosomal RNA, 382 nt
Filed under: uncultured eukaryote
Lineage: Eukaryota
Description: partial 18S ribosomal RNA
Rfam family: Eukaryotic small subunit ribosomal RNA
Source: RNAcentral